RNAcentral lists this ribosomal RNA (253 nucleotides) under uncultured bacterium. Its description in RNAcentral is "partial 16S ribosomal RNA". It matches the Rfam family "Bacterial small subunit ribosomal RNA", at positions 524 to 776 of the family's 1533-position model. The record is from RNAcentral.
UACGGGGGGGGCAAGCGUUGUUCGGAAUUACUGGGCGUAAAGGGCUCGUAGGUGGCCAACUAAGUCAGACGUGAAAUCCCUCAGCUUAACUGGGGAACUGCGUCUGAUACUGGAUGGCUUGAGUUUGGGAGAGGGAUGCGGGAUUCCAGGUGUAGCGGUGAAAUGCGUAGAUAUCUGGAGGAACACCGGUGGCGAAGGCGGCAUCCUGGACCAACACUGACACUGAUGAGCGAAAGCCAGGGGAGCAAACGGG